GAUGAACGCUGGCGGUAUGCUUAACACAUGCAAGUCGAACGGACUCUUCGGAGUUAGUGGCGGACGGGUGAGUAACGCGUGAGAAUCUGGCUUUGGGUUCGGGACAACCACUGGAAACGGUGGCUAAUACCGGAUGUGCCGAGAGGUAAAAGAGAAAUUGCCUGAAGAUGAGCUCGCGUCUGAUUAGCUAGUUGGUGAGGUAAAGGCUCACCAAGGCAGCGAUCAGUAGCUAGUCUGAGAGGAAGACCAGCCACACUGGGACUGAGACACGGCCCAGACUCCUACGGGGGGCAGCAGGGGGAAAUUGUCCGCAGUGGGCGAGAGCCUGGCAGAGCAAUACCGCGUGAGAGAAGAAGGCUCUUGGGUUGUAAACCUCUUUUCUUAGGGAAGGACAGAAUGACGGUACCUAAUGAAUCAGCAUCGGCUAACUCCGUG
RNAcentral lists this ribosomal RNA (435 nucleotides) under uncultured bacterium. RNAcentral's name for it is "partial 16S ribosomal RNA". It matches the Rfam family "Bacterial small subunit ribosomal RNA", at positions 28 to 507 of the family's 1533-position model. The record is from RNAcentral.